ACCUAAGUAGUUAAAUUAUAAUUUAAUAUUGAAGCUAUUGAGUUAGGACUUUGUCCUCUUAGGUA
RNAcentral lists this transfer RNA (65 nucleotides) under Eurygaster testudinaria. Its description in RNAcentral is "tRNA-Phe". The record is from RNAcentral. Lineage: Eukaryota; Metazoa; Arthropoda; Insecta; Hemiptera; Scutelleridae.